UUGGCACCCAAAUGUCAUAUAGCCGGAACUGGGGCUUAUAAAGUUUACUGUUUUAUAACUUUUAAAAGGAAAGACGGCAUCCCUGUAAGCAGCCAGUAAAUGUGCAAAUCUCUAGUUGGGCUUUAGCUGCUCUGAGGAGUUUCCCAGUGGAGCUAGGAUGGGGGCUCAAGACAUCACUCUGGUCGGAAAACCGGACAAACGAAGCAGGCAACCAUCGGAGAACUCUGAAUUAACCGCGGCUCCCAGAAGCUCUGGCCUCUCUGACAGCUGUCGCUUCGGCAGCCCAAGAGACGAAUUGUCCUCCUUCCUGGUGCCAGAGGACGCAGGAAAUUAGCCAGGUUGCAAGUUGCAAAGCGGCGGCUGUUGCUCCAGGAACUGGACGCGCCCCACCUCCAGCGACAGCGGCCGGCCUGGGCCUGGCAGCGGCUUCCCCUCGCUCGCCAUCGCCGGACAAAGCGCAGCCCAGGCAGGCUGGGAAGGCAGAGCUCCGAAGCACGCAGGAUGGAGCGGAGCAAAAGAAUGCGGCUCUAUUCUCGCAAGGGAAAUUAUAAAAAAGUUCAUGUUCACGGUUCCUAUCCACAUGACCGACAGCGGCCAAUGGAAGGGCCGAACAACUCAUAAAGUUGUAUUGCAAAGUUGUAAAUUUUCAUAAACAACAACGGAUUUAUGACCC
This is a long non-coding RNA of Mastomys coucha (southern multimammate mouse), 673 nucleotides long. RefSeq lists it as uncharacterized. The transcript is spliced from 3 exons. The record is from RefSeq and is a predicted model, not a curated record. Lineage: Eukaryota; Metazoa; Chordata; Mammalia; Rodentia; Muridae.